AACGUUGAAACACUUAUUCCCGUACAAUCACCGAAGUUAAGCAACGUCGAGCAUGGUCAGUGCCUAAAUGGGUGACCGUUUGGGAAUACUAGGUACUGUAAU
This is a non-coding RNA of Acanthosepion pharaonis, 102 nucleotides long. NCBI's taxonomy places the organism in Eukaryota, Metazoa, Mollusca, Cephalopoda, Sepiida, Sepiidae. The record is from the annotation of a GenBank genome assembly.